CUGCCAGCCAACGCCAGGACAAGCAGCAUGUGAAGACACCGACCUGGCUGGCCUUGAACUCACCGAGGUUCACCUGAGAAAAAAGUGACUGCUUUAUGCAUUCACUUCCUCCCAGCAUUCGGCAGUUGAGAGUCACCAGCAGAGAUCUCACCCAACGGCAGGUCUUCUCUCAGCCUCAGGAGUAUGGACUGUGAUGGAGAGCAACACUCCUAACACCUACAUUUUCUGUCCCUUGUAUUAACUACGUCACACAGAAGAGGCCCACAGUUUUGAGAAACCAAAACAAAGACUGGAAGUGGAGGCCCAGACAGGGCAACAUGACUACAUCAGAGGACAACAACCAACUCCUAACCUCCUAUUUGGCCUUACCAGAGCGAUCUCAUCCAUGGAGAAAUGGAAAUUAGAGAAGGUGGGAAAACGACAAUCUUAUCACAUACAUUAACAUUUAUCCAGAGUCAACCCCACCUGGCCUAGGAGUCUCAUUAUCUUUCAUCUUACAAAAGAUAAAAAAGACGACAGUUCAUUCAAGUUCUGAACAAACUGGUCACCUGCCUCUCUCUGUGGGUGGUGCAACCUCCACUCCCAAGUCAGUUUUGUUGCCUUAAAUUCUUUCCAACUUCCCCUAUGUUUACAAGGGGAGUAUACAAGACUGUAUUUCCAACACAUCAGGGCUGGGGCCAGACCUAAGGUCCUUCCAAACCCACACCACCUCAUAAUGAUACAAAACAAGCGAGGCAUGGCCUGACCCAUUGCUACAACCUCAGCACUUAGGACAAGGACGGCCUGGGUUAUAUGCAUUCAGUUUAGGGGGAGGGGGAAAGCUAGAUUGUGACUCAAAAUAAAAAAGGUAUUUGGACUAUGGAUCUCUAUCCAGACCAAAGGAGCAUAGAAAACUUAGCAAGGUUUAGAAAAGGAGACCGAAAGAGAGUCACUAAACCAUCCAAUAAAACUAACAGUAUGAGAGCCAAUUAAUAACCACUUCACAGCUGCCCACCCAAAAGAAGCAUGCCAGAAAAACCACAGCCAGGUGGCUGGUGUUCUCUCCUUCUUCCCUGGCACCAGAAAGAGCAGCUAGAGCACCCAACUUGAGAGCAGUCCUUCAUCAGCCACUUCUGACGGCGAGGAAAGAAAGGCUCAUGCUACAGUGAAGACUGCUUUUAAUAGGAGUUGACUGUUGGUACCUAAAACUUCAGAAAGAAAAACCAGACAAGAAGGGGAACUACCAGGCCUGCAGAAGCGACUCGGUGACUAAGAGCACCGGGUUCAAUCCCCAGCAUCCUCAGGGUUUGAGAGAAGAAGUGAAUCAAGGGAAGUACACCUUCCAUCCAAAUGAACAUGUUCCAGUCUAGGCGACUAUUCACUCAUCCAGCAACUCACUUCUCCUAGACAGGGAUCAUCUUUUUACAUUAAACAACUCUUCAAGGCUGGAGAUGUAGCACUAACCACAGAAACCUGAGGGUUCAAGCUCCAGCAAGGCAUAACAUAGGAUGAGGAGGGAUCGUGACAUGCCUGCAAUCCCAGCACCCGGGGAAGGCUGGAGAGGAGGAGCUGUAGUUCAAAUUAUCUUAAGCUACAGAGUUGAGGCCAGCCUGGUCCACAUUAACACCGUUUCAACACCAGCAAAAAAAUGCAGCUCCUAAACACACAAACUCUUCAGUGUGGCCUUUCCUGUGAACCAUUUUAAAAAAAUGAGACUCCUGAACCUUUCUACAAAAAGUCUCUAAUUGUUUUCUUCCACCAUACCAUUGCCACACAAGAUGGCAGGUGUCUUUGCUUACCCUUACUUACUUAUGUGUGUGCCUAGACAGCCUGUGUGUAUGAUCCAGUGUCCUGUCUGUCAUCUAGCGCCCUUAGCUAUCUUCAGCCUGCUCAGUCUCAAAUUUCCAGCAGCAAAGCUUAGAAACCAGAAGAAUUGCUGGGCAG
Molecule: long non-coding RNA, 1923 nt
Organism: Peromyscus leucopus (white-footed mouse)
Lineage: Eukaryota; Metazoa; Chordata; Mammalia; Rodentia; Cricetidae
Exons: 5
Source: RefSeq, a predicted model, not a curated record